RNAcentral lists this ribosomal RNA (443 nucleotides) under uncultured bacterium. Its description in RNAcentral is "partial 16S ribosomal RNA". It matches the Rfam family "Bacterial small subunit ribosomal RNA", at positions 338 to 795 of the family's 1533-position model. The record is from RNAcentral.
CCUACGGGUGGCAGCAGUGAGGAAUAUUGCACAAUGGGCGAAAGCCUGAUGCAGCAACGCCGCGUGAAGGAAGAAGGGUUUCGGCUCGUAAACUUCUAUUCACCGGGACGAAAGAAAUGACGGUACCCGAAUAAGAAGCCCCGGCUAACUACGUGCCAGCAGCCGAGGUAAUACGUAGGGGGAAAGCGUUAUCCGGAUUUUCUGGGUGUAAGGGGUGAGUAGGCGGCAUGGUAAGCCAGAUGUGAAACCAUUGGGCUUAACCCGAGGAUUGCAUUUGGAACAAUCAAGCUAGAGUGCAGGAGAGGAAAGCGGAAUUCCGAGUGUAGCGGUGAAAUGCGUAGAUAUUAGGAAGAACACCAGUGGCGAAGGCGGCUUUCUGGACUGAAACUGACGCUGAGGCACGAAAGCGUGGGGAGCGAACAGGAUUAGAUACCCGAGUAGUC